Ochotona curzoniae (black-lipped pika) is the source of this 673-nucleotide long non-coding RNA. RefSeq lists it as uncharacterized. The record is from RefSeq and is a predicted model, not a curated record. The transcript is spliced from 2 exons. Lineage: Eukaryota; Metazoa; Chordata; Mammalia; Lagomorpha; Ochotonidae.
UUUUUGAUUUUAUUGAUGAGCAUUUUGUCUCAGAUGAAACUCAAAUGGUGUAUGUGUACACGCUUGUGUUCUAGAGUUAAAAGGGAGAAAAUGUUGAGGCCCAGCAGCUCGGGCGAGGGGUUUGAGUGAUGACUGGGGACCCCUGCUGCCAGAGCCCAUGCUCCCCACCUCCCCACCCCCAGGCAGGCACUGUGCAGUAAGGCACGCCCUCUGACUCAUCGUGCUGCUGUAAAUCCCUUUUACAUUUCUGCCUUUGUUUCUGUUUUGUAAGAUUUAUUGAAAUUUAUCUUUGCAGUGUUUGUGUUGGGCCGUGUUCUUGGCAGAGCUGUAGCCGCUGCCUAUGGACACUUACUCUCAGUGUGUGGAAUCUUCCAGAAGUUUUUAUAGAAGAAAACAGAUACUUUUGUUUUUGUUUUUGGUGGAAAAGAAUGAUCUGACCUCUCUCAGGCACAAAAUGGUUACACUAGUGAAAAAAAAAUCUGAAUUAUUUAGAAGUGCAUGUCUGUAAUAGGUUUUAGUCUGUGGCUCUAGGUAAGUGUGCAAGGCUCUGAGGAAUCCAUGCUCAUUAGCAGAAAGUUGAAACUCAUGUUGCCAAUCUUUGCCUAAUUAAUAGGCCCUUGGCACUCAUGUUAAUUAAGUUAGCCUUCAUUUUCUGAACUGUUAUCUUAGUAUA